This 407-nucleotide ribosomal RNA is filed under the name uncultured bacterium. RNAcentral's name for it is "partial 16S ribosomal RNA". It matches the Rfam family "Bacterial small subunit ribosomal RNA", at positions 30 to 526 of the family's 1533-position model. The record is from RNAcentral.
AUUGAACGCUGGCGGCAGGCCUAACACAUGCAAGUCGAGCGGAACGGCGGACGGGUGAGUAAUGACUAGGAAUCAACCUGGUAGUGGGGGAUAACGACCGGAAACGGGCGCUAAUACCGCAUACUAUCAGCAGAGGCUGGCUCGGAUUAGCUAGGUGGUGGGGUAAAGGCCUACCAAGGCGACGAGCCGUCACUGGUCUGAGUGGAUGAUCAGUCACACUGGAACUGAGACACGGUCCAGACUCCUACGGGAGGCAGCAGUGGGGAAUAUUGGACAAUGGGCGAAAGCCUGAUCCAGCCAUGCCGCGUGUGUGAAGAAGGUCUUCGGAUUGUAAAGCACUUUAAGUUGGGAGGCGUUACCAACAGAAUAAGCACCGGCUAACUUCGUGCCAGCAGCCGCGGUAAUUC